CCACUGCCCGGAGGUAAGAGCUUAAAGAGGCCGGAGCGUCUCCCUUCUCCACUCCAUCAGUCCCUCCGAGCCUCCUGCGUUGGAAUUGGGAGGCACAGUCCCUAAGAGAAGAGGUCCAGCUGCCAUCUCUCUGUUAAUAGUAGUCUCUCCUUUGCCUGCUUCCUGCGGCAGCCAAGAGUGCAAUGGAGAAAGCUUCCUUAUUUAUGGGGCGCUGAUCCCGGUGACCAGACAUUCCCCGAGGGUGCUCACUCUCUCACUUCUCCCCACAUUUUCCCCCAACCUUCCUUCCACCCCACCAUGACUGGCUCCACAUCCAGCGCUCACCACUGCCCCCACGCCAAGAGUGGCAAAGGAAUGCGGUCCAGGAGCACUCACGUACGAUCUGUGUGCCUCGCCAACAAUGGGGGGUCGGAGGAGGAAGACAAAGAAGGAGGGGUGCUCUUCCAUGUCAACAAGAGCGGCUUCCCGAUUGACACCCACACCUGGGAACGGAUGUGGAUGCACGUGGCAAAGGUACACCCCAAGGGAGGAGAAAUGGUGGGGUCCAUCAGGAAUGCAGUCUUCCUGGCAAAACCUUCAGUGCCCCCAGUUCCAAACUACAGGGUAUCCAUGUCAAUCCCAGAAUGGCUUCAUGCGAUCCAGAAUUACAUGAAGACUCUACAAUACAAUCACACAGGGACACAGUUCUUUGAAAUUCGAAAAACGAGACCACUGAGUGGGUUGAUGGAAACAGCAAAAGAAAUGACUCGAGAAUCUUUACCUAUCAAAUGUCUUGAAGCCGUAAUCCUGGGCAUAUAUCUAACAAAUGGGCAGCCGUCCAUUGAGCGAUUCCCCAUAAGCUUUAAAACCCAAUUCUCAGGAAAUUACUUUCAUCAUGUUGUACUGGGGAUCUACUGUAAUGGCCGCUAUGGUUCACUGGGCAUGAGCCGGAGGUCCGAUUUAAUGGACAAACCUCUGACCUUUCGGACUCUGAGUGACCUCAUCUUUGACUUUGAAGACUCCUACAAGAAAUACCUACACACAGUCAAAAAAGUCAAGAUUGGGCUAUAUGUUCCUCAUGAGCCCCAUAGCUUCCAGCCCAUUGAGUGGAAGCAACUGGUUCUCAAUGUCACAAAGAUGAUGAGGUCGGACCUAAGGAAAGAGCUGGAGAAAUAUGCCAGGGACUUAAGAAUGAAGAUCCUGAAACCCACAAGUGCCCACUCGCCUCCCCUGGAGAGAAGUCGAGGAAAGUCAUUGUCUCCCCGGCGGAGGCAGUCAAGCCCUCCAAGACGGCUUGGGAGGAGAGACAAAUCCAAAAGUGGACCAUGCCUAGCCCUACUGAAGACAGAAGCUAGCAUGCCAGCAUCAUUGGUGUGCUACCUCUCACAGAAACUCUUACCAGUGAUUGAAGAUAAUGGGUUAUUUCCCCAUCCAAAAAGUUUGUUGAACUUGGCCAGAGUUUGAUAUCAAAAUGAUGCUUCGCCCUGCUUCUUACUGGGAGAGGAAGCUUUUGUUUGAGUCACUCCCUUUUCCCCCUCUGGCCAAAAUGUGAUUAAAGACCAUCAGAAGUUACCCUGAAAGUAAAGCCUCCAACCAUAACAGAGCACAAGAUUAUAAUUCACCAAACCGAAGGACCAUACCUACAGAAGACAGAAGUUAGCAUACCAUCAUCUUUGCCAGCACUCCCAAAUAAGAAGGUGACUGACCUCAGUACUCUGAAUGAAGUAGGUUAUCAGAUCCGAAUUUAACUAAGCCAUAAUGGCCAGUGGUGCUUCUGUCUGCACUUUACCCAGCACAUGGCAUCUUCAGGAGGAUUUGCAACUCUUUAUCAAGAUCCUGUGAACUGUAUUUUUAAAAAGUCGCCCAGAAAAAGUAUAAAGGGGUGAUAUUUACUUUAAAAAAAAAAAAAAAAAAAACUUAUCAAGUGGCAACAUGAAAAAGCAAAAAAAAAAAAAAAAAAUCAUAAUAAUUGUGAUUAUGAUAAGCCCUACCUGGGGCUGGACUAACUCCUUUACUCCUAAAUGAGUGGACAACUA
Sarcophilus harrisii (Tasmanian devil) is the source of this 2015-nucleotide RNA transcript. It is a transcript of the gene named vasohibin 2, with no coding region annotated. The transcript has 12 exons. NCBI's taxonomy places the organism in Eukaryota, Metazoa, Chordata, Mammalia, Dasyuromorphia, Dasyuridae. The record is from RefSeq and is a predicted model, not a curated record.